RNAcentral lists this ribosomal RNA (658 nucleotides) under Klebsiella quasivariicola. RNAcentral describes it as "partial 16S rRNA". Lineage: Bacteria; Pseudomonadati; Pseudomonadota; Gammaproteobacteria; Enterobacterales; Enterobacteriaceae. The record is from RNAcentral.
GGACCAGUGAGCCGCCUUCGCCACUGGUGUUCCUCCGAAUAUCUACGAAUUUCACCUCUACACUCGGAAUUCCACUCACCUCUUCCAUACUCUAGACACCCAGUAUCAAAGGCAGUUCCGGGGUUGAGCCCCGGGAUUUCACCCCUGACUUAAAUGUCCGCCUACGUGCGCUUUACGCCCAGUAAUUCCGAACAACGCUAGCCCCCUUCGUAUUACCGCGGCUGCUGGCACGAAGUUAGCCGGGGCUUCUUCUCCGGUUACCGUCAUUAUCUUCACCGGUGAAAGAGCUUUACAACCCUAGGGCCUUCAUCACUCACGCGGCAUGGCUGGAUCAGGCUUGCGCCCAUUGUCCAAUAUUCCCCACUGCUGCCUCCCGUAGGAGUUUGGGCCGUGUCUCAGUCCCAAUGUGGCUGAUCAUCCUCUCAGACCAGCUAUGGAUCGUCGCCUUGGUAGGCCUUUACCCCACCAACUAGCUAAUCCAACGCGGGCUCAUCCUUUCCCGAUAAAUCUUUCCCCCGAAGGGCGUAUACGGUAUUAGCACAAGUUUCCCUGCGUUAUUCCGUAGAAAAGGGUAGAUUCCCACGCGUUACUCACCCGUCUGCCGCUCCCCUUGCGGGGCGCUCGACUUGCAUGUGUUAAGCCUGCCGCCAGCGUUCGU